RNAcentral lists this ribosomal RNA (253 nucleotides) under uncultured bacterium. RNAcentral describes it as "partial 16S ribosomal RNA". It matches the Rfam family "Bacterial small subunit ribosomal RNA", at positions 524 to 776 of the family's 1533-position model. The record is from RNAcentral.
UACGGAAGGGGCGAGCGUUGUUCGGAAUUACUGGGCGUAAAGAGCGCGUAGGCGGCUUACCAAGUUGGAGGUGAAAUCCCAGAGCUCAACUCCGGAACUGCCUUCAAAACUGGAAGGCUCGAGUCCGGAAGAGGCAAGUGGAAUUUCCAGUGUAGAGGUGAAAUUCGUAGAUAUUUGGAAGAACACCAGUGGCGAAGGCGGCGCCCUGGUCCGGUACUGACGCUGAGGCGCGAAAGCGUGGGGAGCAAACAGG